Molecule: long non-coding RNA, 600 nt
Organism: Xenia sp. Carnegie-2017
Lineage: Eukaryota; Metazoa; Cnidaria; Anthozoa; Malacalcyonacea; Xeniidae
Exons: 3
Source: RefSeq, a predicted model, not a curated record
UCAAUUAAAGUUGGAUGAUACGCGUAAUCAACUACGCGUCACAUAAAAUUAUGGCGCCCACCCGAAAAAUAAUCACGGUUUGGCAGAAAUUUUAACUGAAGUGGAAGGUUUAAAAAGAACUGCUGAAGUCAUAUGAGCUGUCAUUGUUGUGUGCAGGUCAUGUAUAUGGAGUGCGCGUUCAUUUAACGUCUCACAUAAUCGCACGGAUAUUGGAGCUCUCCUUUCUUCAUUGGUGUUUAUAUUUGAUAUCUCUAAUCUUGCUGAUCACGUCAAUCUGUCCAAAUGGUUUAUGUAUUUCUGUGCAUAUUUCUGUGUGUGUUUCUGUGCAUAUUUGCGUCUCUGGAUCAGAGAUCUUUACUGUUUAUCCUUGGAUCUAAGCAAUGAUGAGUUUAAUGAUAUUGUGGUUAUUGUGGCUGUCAUUUGGUCAAGGAUUCACAAUGAAAAUGGGUUGGAAUGAAGAACUUGAGUUUUGUGAGGAAGAAUGGAAAAAAUUUUUUGCGGACAAAAUUGGAAUCGAUUUGAAAUGCAACAAUACUCGUACACGUUGUUGUGUCGAAGAGAAGAAAUAUCUUUUGGAGCGAUUUAAAAUGUUUAGUGAAA